RNAcentral lists this unclassified non-coding RNA (221 nucleotides) under soil metagenome. RNAcentral's name for it is "partial contains 5.8S ribosomal RNA, internal transcribed spacer 2, and large subunit ribosomal RNA". The record is from RNAcentral.
AACAUCGCGCACCUGCGGGAACCUGCGGAAGGAUCAUUACACAAUACAAUAUGAAGGCUGUCCGCAGCUGGAGUAUUUUAUUACCCUUGUCUUUUGCGCACUUGUUGUUUCCUGGGCGGGUUCGCUCGCCACCAGGACCACCAAAUAAACCUUUUUUAUGCAGUUGCAAUCAGCGUCAGUACAAACAAUGUAAAUCAUUUACAACUUUUAGCAAUGGAUCU